AUUGAACGCUGGCGGCAGGCCUAACACAUGCAAGUCGAGCGGAGCGGCGGACGGGUGCGUGAUGCUUAGGAAUCUGCAUGGUAGUGGGGGAUAACGUCCGGUAACGGGCGCUAAUACCGCAUCCUUUCAGUUGAGCCUAGGUCGGAUUAGCUAGUUGGUGGGGUAAAGGCCUACCAAGGCGACGAUCCGUAACUGGUCUGAGAGGAUGAUCAGUCACACUGGAACUGAGACACGGUCCAGACUCCUACGGGAGGCAGCAGUGGGGAAUAUUGCACAAUGGGCGCAAGCCUGAUGCAGCCAUGCCGCGUGUAUGAAGAAGGCCUUCGGGUUGUAAAGUACUUUCGUCAGGGAGGCGGUACCCGAAGAAGAAGCACCGGCUAACUACGUGCCAGCAGCCGCGGUAAUUC
RNAcentral lists this ribosomal RNA (407 nucleotides) under uncultured bacterium. RNAcentral's name for it is "partial 16S ribosomal RNA". It matches the Rfam family "Bacterial small subunit ribosomal RNA", at positions 30 to 526 of the family's 1533-position model. The record is from RNAcentral.